UGCAGUGCUUUACCUGGGUGGAUGUCAGACACAUGAUAAUGAAAAGUGCAUGACACCACACCAGGUAGAGGAAAGCUCA
RNAcentral lists this microRNA precursor (79 nucleotides) under Jaculus jaculus (lesser Egyptian jerboa). RNAcentral describes it as "miRNA (ENSJJAG00000001295.1)". Lineage: Eukaryota; Metazoa; Chordata; Mammalia; Rodentia; Dipodidae. The record is from RNAcentral.